AUAUCUUUCUCGGCCUUCUAGCAAAGAUUAAGUGUAGUAUCCGUUCUUAUUAGUUUAAUAUUUGUUAUGUGUGCAAUUAGUUCUCUGUUUAUUAAAUUAAUAAUUUUUUAAGGGGAGGGCCCACUACAGUUGCUUGCCACUGGGGCCUUUAAUGUGUUUCCUUGGUGUUGCACUAUUGCAUUGGCUUGGCGCACCCCAA
Rhododendron vialii is the source of this 199-nucleotide small nuclear RNA. RefSeq annotates it as U2 spliceosomal RNA. The record is from RefSeq and is a predicted model, not a curated record. Lineage: Eukaryota; Viridiplantae; Streptophyta; Magnoliopsida; Ericales; Ericaceae. The transcript has a single exon.